Molecule: RNA transcript, 4993 nt
Organism: Papaver somniferum (opium poppy)
Lineage: Eukaryota; Viridiplantae; Streptophyta; Magnoliopsida; Ranunculales; Papaveraceae
Exons: 16
Source: RefSeq, a predicted model, not a curated record
AUAUAAAUUUGAUGGCAGGAUCGUCAAUUGUAUUGGGGCUGAGUAUUUGCAUGGUCUUCAAUGCAUGAAGUCCAAUUAGGCAUGGCAGUGAAGAAUAUGGCUGCUGCGGGUAUGGUUGUAAAAGAAACAGAUUGAGAAAGUUUGCCGCAUAAUUCAAGUCUUUUGAUCUUCCACUCAUCCACUGAACACCUUUAUGUUUAUUUCUGCAGCAAAUAUGCCACCAAAAGAUGUCUAUCUCAACGUUAGCAGUAGAGGGUCGAUGGCACAGCGGAAGCGUAGAGAAAAGGAGAAGGAAAAACAGCCCAUCACGGAACCAAAUCCGCAAAAUUUACAUGUUGAUGUUUUACUCUGGCAUCAAUUGGUAGGUACGUCCAUAUAUUACGAGAUGUGAUGCUUAGAGACUUGAUUGGAAAAAGGGUUAUUAAGUAAUGGUUGUAGCAGCACCAUGACAACUUGAUUUUGCUCGGUAUCCUUUUCGGGCGAGGAUUGUUACUAGAACAUAUUGGUGAAGACACAAAUAGCUAAGUCUAAAUUUUUUUUGUUAAUUUUAUUAUGAACUGACAAGGUGUUUGAAUGAAUGUCAUAGCCAUUAAAUCCAUUAAUUUUAUGUACUCAAAAACUCUUUUAGUAUUGGUUUUGGUUGAGAGUUUAGACUAGCAUAUAUCAAAAUUGCCUUGAAAUUUCACACCUUUCUAUAUUUUGCACAAGAAAAUACACCUAAAUAAGAAUUUGACAAAAAGCUUCUUCUGUUACAAGAGAUGAUAAGUUUCUAGCCAUUUAUUUUCAUCUAAUACUACUUUCUUAUUUGCGAAUACUGAUGCAUUCCAAGGAACCACUAGAAUUUCUAAACUUCUAAUUUGUUAAUCCAUGUAUAGUUUACUUGAUCUGUAUGAAAGUAUCGCAUAACUUCCAUAUGACCCUGAUACGUCAAUGGAAAUUAAUACCCUUUUACUACCCAGAUCUCGAAGCUUUCCUUUAAUCAUGUCUCACAUCAAUAACAUCCAAUUUCGUUUGCAUACUCAACCUUAGUAUUUACUUGAUUCAUUGCUCGCAGAUUAAUUACUUGAAUAUCAUCUGUUACUUGAGAUUAUUUGCAAUCUACUUGAGAUUAUUUGCAAUCUAAUCUGUAAGCGUAAUCUGCACUAUAAUGAGAAACUGAAGCUAAGAGCAUAAUCUUAGAAAAACCUAGAAAAUAUCGAAUAAAACAUCAGCAUUAUGGUAUUUUCUUAAAUUAUUUGGGAUUUAAUUGGAUAAUAUGAUUGUAACAAGGUGGUAAUGGAUACAGGAAUACAAUGGAAGGAUCACUACCAUUUUCCAUAAUCAAGGAUGAGUACAAGUCUUUGUUGGCUGAGGCUUUAGAUUGUUCGUUUAGUUUCUGUUGGAUUCACUGAUGGGGACACGAUGAAGUCUUGACUACGAGUUCCAGUUUGAUAAAAUGCUGAAAGGGAAACACUGAAUCAGAAAUGGCAGAGCAAAUGAAGUGUAGCGCCCAAAAGUUCAACUUAUCUUAUCUCAAUAACGUAUAAUCACAGAGGAAUGCUACCAGAAACUGAUAUCUUGGAAUCAGAGGAGUAUCCGAUGUUGAGUACACCGUGUUGAGUGGAGCCUUUUUUGAGAGAUAUCGAGUCACUAUGGAAGAAAUGAAUGCAGACUGUAAUUGAGUAGACUAUAAUUCGUAGUGAUCACAGUAUGGACGUUUUCCCCAUGCUAAAGACUUUUCACCACCGUAUUAUGCCAUUGUAUGGGUGAAGCUGAGAUCCUUCAGAGGAUAAGAGCAUGUCCUCUUUACAAGUUCAUAUUAGUCGAGGUUCUGUCAUUUGGACUGGGAGAGGCCAAUACAGAAGGAACAACACUCAGAACCCGACAAAAAUUUCUUGAGCUUUUGUGGCAAUAUCCAUUCCGUGCUUUGGAAGAGGUUAAUAAUCGAACCAUUGUGGCUCAUUAAAUCCUAAUCCACUACCUUCGAUGUUAACUGAUUCAGAUUUUUUCAUGCGACUACAUAUUAAUUUCUGUGAGAAAGGUAAUAUAUUUUCUUUUGUACUCAACAAUGAAUCACUUUUCUACUUAAAAAAAAUCAUUAUGUACAUGUCUGUUAACAAGUAGUUUUGAGACUAGGCAAUAUCAGGGGAUGACAUUAUGAAUACUACCAGGGUCAUGGCUUAGAAAACAUGGCUUACCUGCUCCAUGAGGUGUCUCCUGAAAAUAUAAUCUAAUAAAAAAAGUGGUCAUGAUCUGUCUUUACUUGGAAUUAUAGCAGUCUACGAUUUUACCUAGAGUGCUUCUAUAAAAAAAAUUUGUGUUGUAUUAUUUCUCUGGAAUUUAAUUAAAACCAUUGUCAAUGGUUUUUUUGGUUACUCAGUAGCAUCGAUUCCUCCAUUUCCUACUAACCUGAACAUUGAACAUUAACCCAUGUCUUUAAUUUUGCUUUAUUGAGAUACAAGUCAUGUUUGGUAUUUAUUGUGUUGGAUGUAAGCUUUGCAGUAUGCUCGGCGGAAUUUUGCUCAUCUAUAUGUUCUUUAUGUGUGAUUCUCAAAUAACCAUGCAGAUUACAGCUAUACUAAUUCUGGAUAGUUUUUCCACAACUCAAUGGAAUUCCAGUUGUCCAUUGUCAGGGAAACAUGAUGUGAUACGAAUAUACCGUCAUUCAACUGCAAUUACCUGAUAUAUAUUGUUUGAUGAACAUUGUCAAGGGUGUUGAGCUCAUUUUGUUGACUGUCAACAUACAAAAAGCUCACCACGCAGGGUCUACUAUUUGCGAAAUAAACGUAGUAUAAUGAACUCGGUGAAUUAGUAAUAGUGUUUCACUUAAUAUAUUGAUUAUCGUCAUUAUGACAUGGAAUGAUGGAACCAUUGGUAAAUAAAUUUCGAUAUGUAGCUAUUUGACAACUUUAAUCUAUAUUUUACUUUUCUUUGUGCCGGGAUAAUAGAGUAUGCAUGGAUAUAUUAGUAUUUCCCAUUACGUAUGAGAAGCAAAUUGGUUUAAGAUUACAUAUGGCGGAAAGAAUCAUGGCCAUAAUCUUAUGAAUGAAUACAACAAUACAGCUGCAGUAUAACUGCUACUGCACUUAGUAUAUUUUCUCAUUCUCGCUGCUACUGUUGUUUCUAUUGAAAAGACAAGCACCAUAGAUAGAUACUGCUUUUGUCCCACACUAAGACAAGUCUUUAAACCACGGAUCUGUGGCGUAAUGGUAACGCAUUUGACUCCUGUCAGAAGGUUACGUAUUCGAUUCACGUCAGAUCCAAUCACCAGUCCAAAUAAUUGAAGUGUUAUUUUCUGCUUUGGUUGGGAGAUACACACUGUUCAGUUUAUUAUCUGGGUAUUUUGUAUAUAUGUAGUUGUAGAUCCUCACAACAUUGAGGGAGAAGCUAGAUUGGCUAUAGAGAGGUUACCUGCUUAUUUGGCUGCUGAAACUGAGAAAAUUCAGGGAGACCUAAGCAAUGCCAACCAUUAUAUUGUCUUAAGUUUCAUGGUAGGGCAAGGAUGGAGAAGUGAUAGUAAAUCUUGACACGCCAAACAUGCGUGAGUGAUAUCAAUGAGAGAGAUGCAAUGGGGAAAAUAUUUUUUCGCUUAACAGUUAAGAGCUAAAAGUAUAUCGCAAGUUCAAAAUCAAAUUGCUCACUGAAUUCAGCGAGUGUAAUCAUGUCCUUAACCCAUUAGAGGGUGUGGGUAUGUCUUAAAUUUGAUUUUUUGUUGUUUGAUGUUUACUCAUCACUGUUGUGAUUGAUAAGUUUUUCCUUAUUGCAGGACAGGGUGAAAAAGGCACAAUUACAGAAUCAAUUAGAGCAACACUCGACUCUAAAGCUGCAGGAUUGAGUGUAUGUAAACCUUCAGCUUAUUCUUACAUAUAACUCAUUACCCAGUUACUUUAUAGAAUUGGAGAUUACAUAUUUUCAGGGUCUCAAGAAAUGGGAACUGCCCAAGCCCUGUUGGAAGCUGUGAAGGCAAGACUUGGGUAAAACUUGGAUACUUACGCCUUUGAGGUUGAGGAACCACAAAAGUUUCGGUUCUCCAAUAUAUCUAGGUAUUACUAUGGUUGCAGUUGAUGGUCAAAAAGGGUCUGGCGAAUUUCAGAAGAAACAGAUAGUCAUUGAAGGUACAAAGGGUUGAUAUGUGAGUCACUCUAUGAAGGGAAUGGUGAAAAUCAGUAAAAGAGGUGUUGUAGAGGAACACAUGAAUACUCCGAUAAUUGUUAUUAUUACUGAAACAUUUGUAAGCGAAUUCCGAGGUGUACUUACAUUAGCUAUUGACACUUCCUCUGGAGUGUUGAUCAAUCUGGAUUUACCAGAAGUCGAUGAAUUCAACAAAAAACCAAAUAUGAAGCAACUGCCAUGAUACAAAACACUGAAAAUAUGGGUAAAAUAUUCACCAGCGAGGCGACGGUACUGGGCUUGGUUGAGAACAAAUUAUGGUACUACAUGGCAUGCAUCAUAUGUAAUAAAAAGUUUGAGUACGACGAGGACGAGGAACCUUGGUGUAUCAAGUGCAAAAACAAAUUUGAAUAUGAUAUACCAUGUAAAGGGUGACAGAGAUACGUCAGCAUUCACAGUGAUGGAAAAGACAUCAUCAAAGUUGAUGAAAUGCACCGCCAAAGAACAUAUUAACAGGGGAGAAAAGGCACACAAGUGAUUCAACUGAAUCAAGGACCACACCUUUAUUUUCAAUUUGAGUUCAGGAUGCGAAAGAAAUGUUACACAUAUUACCAAAUAUAGGACAAGGAGACAUCUAAGGGGGAGGAAACGUGCAUUAAUUAACGAAAAAGGUAGCAAAGCAUCCAAAUACACCAGCAGCGUAGACUGAGAAAGAAAGUAGACUCGGAUGAUAAAGAGUAGACGGCCAAUGAUUUUUUGAAAACUAAUUGGAAGAAAUAAUGAAUUGGUUUACUUAUAGUUAUUUCUUUUCAAUAAUAACUUCUACAAUAAGGUUCAGUUACAUUUUUUUUAGAUUUAUUUGUUUAAAGUUAGAAUGUUUAAGGUUGUUAUCCUAUGAAUUCAU